Molecule: non-coding RNA, 635 nt
Organism: Heterocephalus glaber (naked mole-rat)
Lineage: Eukaryota; Metazoa; Chordata; Mammalia; Rodentia; Bathyergidae
Source: RefSeq, a predicted model, not a curated record
GUUAGAAAUGUGGAGGUGCAAACUUUGUCCAGUAGAAUUUAUAACCUCUGGGAAAGACAAGAAGAAACAACAUGAACACAUAUAACUCACACAGACGGGAUUUGUGCUACUCACACUAACCAUGCAAGGUUCCCAGACAACUGUCUCAGUGGUCUCAGCACUUACUUCUCUGAUGGAGGAGCAUCAUUCUUGAACUGCUAUUGACUGGAGCAUUUCACCAAGGCAGGAAAAAUGCAUUGAUGAGAGGCGAACUGGGAUCCUUGAAGAACUCUGAAAUGACUCCUCUGAAGGUGGGAGAUGGCAGUGAUGCUGCUGCAGAGGAACUGGUUUCCCUAGUUUUAAGAGGAGUAGUAGAGACCAGCCUAUCUUUUUCAGUCUAACUUUCGUGGCCCUGGCUGAAGAACCUAGGAUGCAGAGAGAAAAGGUGUUUUUUUCUUCUAUACUAUCCAUACACCAAGAGCAAGGAGCUGACAGUGCAGAUACAUGAGUAAUACAGCUACAGACAGUGACAGCCAAGAGAAAUGGCCCCUCAUGGGUCAACCUACGUUUCUGUGGCUGUGGUAGGUGUAUACCUGGCUUACUUGACAUCCAAAAUGGAUUCAUCUUAUCGAUCUUCACCUAUGAAACAAAAUUAU